AGUAAGGUCAGCUAAACAAGCUACCGGGCCCAUACCCCGGAAAUGUUGGUUCAUAUCCUUCCCAUACUA
This 69-nucleotide transfer RNA is filed under the name Pseudorca crassidens (false killer whale). RNAcentral describes it as "tRNA-Met". It matches the Rfam family "tRNA". Rfam says of the family: Transfer RNA (tRNA) molecules are approximately 80 nucleotides in length. The record is from RNAcentral. Lineage: Eukaryota; Metazoa; Chordata; Mammalia; Artiodactyla; Delphinidae.